CCAAGCUCUGCAACUGCAAGGAACUUCAUUUUUUAAGCUGUGAAAGCAUAAUUAUUUCUAUCCCGGAAGUAUUACAAAGGCUAAUCCGAAUUUGGAAAAGUGCUGAUAACAGAAGGAGUACAUUGAGGCUUUCCAAAUCGCAAGGAAGAUUAACGUAGCCUGAAGAUGGCACUCCAAAUACCUGGGAUUACCCGUUGAUGCAUCUAUCUACGAUAAGAUUUCCAUUGCCACUCCUAGAGUUGUGUCAUUCAUCACUCCUUCAAGUUAAUUAAUCAACAUAUCGAUAAAGAUUAUCUUACUGCUACCUGACCUCUCUGAGCAGACGUCAAGUCUUGAGCUUUCGCAAGCGCAGAAAGUUCCACCCAUUGCGAAAAUGCUUACCGAAAGCAACAACAGUAGAUAAUUUUCGAAGUUAGGUGAUACUGAAAAAACCUGUCAUCAAAAUAUAGGAUAGCGGAGUACGGUUGCCAUCAAGAGGAUUUGUAUCGCAAUAAAAGAAAUAUGGCACCUAUGAUUUAUGGUAUUGAAGAAUGGUUGGAAAAGAAUAAGACGUAUUUUCAGCCACCAAUUUGUAAUAAGUUAAUAUCAGAAUUGAUACGUGCAAUUGUUCGAUCAGCAGCAAGACACCCCUGUUUGCAACCGUUCAAAUUUUAUCCUAAACUGACCUCUGUUUUAGGCAGUAAAAUAUCAAGCUUUCGAUAAAGUUAUUUUUAAAAAAAAUCGAUUUUCUAAAUUCUGAAUUAAAAUGUUGUUUAUAAAUAUAAAUGUUACUUAAUUGAUAUGUAAAAUGCUAGAAUAAAUUGCCUUUAAAAAGGGUUUUUAUAUUGUCUGUAUUGAUUAUGCUAUUGAAUUUAAAAUACAAAUAAUUUGUUUUCGGUUCGGUGUUUUUCUUUG
This 894-nucleotide long non-coding RNA is filed under the name Stegodyphus dumicola. RNAcentral describes it as "uncharacterized LOC118186404, transcript variant X1". Lineage: Eukaryota; Metazoa; Arthropoda; Arachnida; Araneae; Eresidae. The record is from RNAcentral.